Small nuclear RNA from Prolemur simus (greater bamboo lemur), 156 nucleotides. Its record names the gene U1. It matches the Rfam family "U1 spliceosomal RNA". From Rfam's summary of the family: U1 is a small nuclear RNA (snRNA) component of the spliceosome (involved in pre-mRNA splicing). Lineage: Eukaryota; Metazoa; Chordata; Mammalia; Primates; Lemuridae. The record is from Ensembl.
AUACUUACCCGACAGGGGAAAUAUCAUGAUCACUAAGGUGAGGGCAAGGCUCAUCCAUUGCACUCUGGGUGUGCUGAUCUCUGUGGUUUCCCCAAAUGUGGCAAACCUGACUGCAUAAUUUUUGGUAGUGGGGGACUGAAUUUGUGCUUUCUCCUA